RNAcentral lists this ribosomal RNA (492 nucleotides) under uncultured bacterium. RNAcentral's name for it is "partial 16S ribosomal RNA". It matches the Rfam family "Bacterial small subunit ribosomal RNA", at positions 29 to 507 of the family's 1533-position model. The record is from RNAcentral.
AGUGAACGCUGGCGGUAGGCCUAACACAUGCAAGUCGAACGGCAGCACAGUAAGAGCUUGCUCUUACGGGUGGCGAGUGGCGGACGGGUGAGGAAUACAUCGGAAUCUACUUUUUCGUGGGGGAUAACGUAGGGAAACUUACGCUAAUACCGCAUACGGCCUACGGGUGAAAGCAGGGGAUCUUCGGACCUUGCGCGAUUGAAUGAGCCGAUGUCGGAUUAGCUAGUUGGCGGGGUAAAGGCCCACCAAGGCGACGAUCCGUAGCUGGUCUGAGAGGAUGAUCAGCCACACUGGAACUGAGACACGGUCCAGACUCCUACGGGAGGCAGCAGUGGGGAAUAUUGGACAAUGGGCGCAAGCCUGACCCAGCCAUACCGCGUGGGUGAAGAAGGCCUUCGGGUUGUAAAGCCCUUUUGUUGGGAAAGAAAAGCAGCAGGUUAAUACCCCGCUGUUCUGACGGUACCCAAAGAAUAAGCACCGGCUAACUUCGUG